GUGCUUGCUUUGGCAGCACAUAUACUAAAAUUGGAAUGAUACAGAGAAGAUGAGCAUGGCCCCUUAAAAAAAAAGGACAAAAAAGAAAUAACUGUAAUCUUA
This 102-nucleotide small nuclear RNA is filed under the name Pan paniscus (pygmy chimpanzee). Lineage: Eukaryota; Metazoa; Chordata; Mammalia; Primates; Hominidae. The record is from RNAcentral.